This 497-nucleotide ribosomal RNA is filed under the name uncultured bacterium. RNAcentral's name for it is "partial 16S ribosomal RNA". It matches the Rfam family "Bacterial small subunit ribosomal RNA", at positions 28 to 507 of the family's 1533-position model. The record is from RNAcentral.
GAUGAACGCUGGCGGCGUGCCUAAUACAUGCAAGUCGAGCGAACAGACGAGGAGCUUGCUCCUCUGACGUUAGCGGCGGACGGGUGAGUAACACGUGGAUAACCUACCUAUAAGACUGGGAUAACUUCGGGAAACCGGAGCUAAUACCGGAUAAUAUAUUGAACCGCAUGGUUCAAUAGUGAAAGACGGUUUUGCUGUCACUUAUAGAUGGAUCCGCGCCGCAUUAGCUAGUUGGUAAGGUAACGGCUUACCAAGGCAACGAUGCGUAGCCGACCUGAGAGGGUGAUCAGCCACACUGGAACUGAGACACGGUCCAGACUCCUACGGGAGGCAGCAGUAGGGAAUCUUCCGCAAUGGGCGAAAGCCUGACGGAGCCACGCCGCGUGAGUGAUGAAGGUCUUCGGAUCGUAAAACUCUGUUAUUAGGGAAGAACAAAUGUGUAAGUAACUAUGCACGUCUUGACGGUACCUAAUCAGAAAGCCACGGCUAACUACGUG